UACGAAGGGGGCUAGCGUUGUUCGGAAUUACUGGGCGUAAAGCGCGCGUAGGCUGCUUAGCAAGUCAGUGGUGAAAUCCCGGAGCUUAACUUCGGAACUGCCAUUGAAACUGCUAAGCUAGAAUCUCAGAGGGGAUAGCGGAAUUCCAAAUGUAGGGGUGAAAUCCGUAGAUAUUUGGAGGAACACCGGUGGCGAAGGCGGCUAUCUGGAUGAGUAUUGACGCUGAGGCGCGAAAGCGUGGGGAUCAAACAGG
This 253-nucleotide ribosomal RNA is filed under the name uncultured bacterium. RNAcentral describes it as "partial 16S ribosomal RNA". It matches the Rfam family "Bacterial small subunit ribosomal RNA", at positions 524 to 776 of the family's 1533-position model. The record is from RNAcentral.